Molecule: ribosomal RNA, 254 nt
Filed under: uncultured Leptotrichia sp.
Lineage: Bacteria; Fusobacteriati; Fusobacteriota; Fusobacteriia; Fusobacteriales; Leptotrichiaceae
Description: partial 16S ribosomal RNA
Rfam family: Bacterial small subunit ribosomal RNA
Source: RNAcentral
CGGACGGGUGAGUAACGCGUAAGAACUUGCCCUUUAGACUGGGAUAACAGAGGGAAACUUCUGAUAAUACUGGAUAAGUUAGUAUAUCGCAUGAUAUGCAAAUGAAAGCUACGGCACUAAAGGAGAGCUUUGCGUCCUAUUAGCUAGUUGGUAAGGUAAGAGCUUACCAAGGCGAUGAUAGGUAGCCGGCCUGAGAGGGUGGACGGCCACAAGGGGACUGAGAUACGGCCCUUACUCCUACGGGAGGCAGCAGA